This 345-nucleotide ribosomal RNA is filed under the name Triticum aestivum (bread wheat). Its description in RNAcentral is "partial small subunit ribosomal RNA". The record is from RNAcentral. Lineage: Eukaryota; Viridiplantae; Streptophyta; Magnoliopsida; Poales; Poaceae.
GAGGACUUUGUUAAGUUCGCUUCCUUCCAACUCAAAGAUCAAGCUGCAGAAUGGUUCCAGCAGUACAAGGACUCCAGAGGUGGACGUGUUAUCACUUGGGAUGAUUUCCGUCGAGAUUUCCGAGCUCAUCAUAUUCCCCAGAGCAUGGUUGAAAGCAAGCGUGAGGAAUUCCGCAAUCUGAAGCAAGGCUCUUUGUCUGUCUAUGACUACAACAAGUUGUUCCAGAAGCUCGCCCGCUUUGCCAAGCAGGACGUCCCUGAUGAGAAGAGCAUGAUAUAUCAGUUCAGGGGUGGUCUCAGAGAAGAAAUUCAGCUCGCUCUUGUCCUCUUUGAGCCCUUGAGGUAC